AAAAUUCUAAUCAAAUCCUAGACAAAUCUUUGAAAAAUCCUAAUCAAAUUCUAAAAAAUUCUUAGACAAAUCCUAAUUAAAUUCUAGACCAAUCUUUAAAAAAAUUCUAAAUAAAUCUUAGAAAAAUUCUAAAAUUAACCUAAUAAAAUCCUAGAUAAAUUUUAGAUAACCUCUAAUCAAACUCUAGAUCUUAAACCAACUCUAAAUCAUAAAUAAAUUCUUAACAAACCUUAUGGCAGAUUGAAACUUCAAUAACUAACAAUCAAACUAUUGAUUUCAAUUCAAAUUUUGUACAUCUCUCAAAAACUAAGCUAUCAAUAAAAGAAAAUAUUUCAAAGAAGAUCAAACUCAUUAAAUAGAAGAUAAUUCCUAAAAUAUGCUUAGGUGUUAACUGACAUCUUUUUUUAAUCUUGAUGCCAAUCUCUUCAAGUUAAAAUCUCUUAAUU
This 446-nucleotide long non-coding RNA is filed under the name Physcomitrium patens. RNAcentral describes it as "long non-coding RNA (PPAT_LNC001936)". Lineage: Eukaryota; Viridiplantae; Streptophyta; Bryopsida; Funariales; Funariaceae. The record is from RNAcentral.